Molecule: long non-coding RNA, 1338 nt
Organism: Tachysurus vachellii
Lineage: Eukaryota; Metazoa; Chordata; Actinopteri; Siluriformes; Bagridae
Exons: 2
Source: RefSeq, a predicted model, not a curated record
ACACAAGGUGUUUAUAAAUAAUUUAUGAAUGCAUUCAGGUCUGUUCCUGGAAGCAUGCGAGUCUUUUCUUUUCUGUUGUGCACCAUGGCAACACAACAGGAAGAGAGUGUGGUGGAGAGGAAGUAACAUGGAUGACAGCUGCAACCGUUAUCGAGAGGAAGAAGAAGAAGAAUCCAGGAAGUAACGAUUCUUCUAAAAAGGAAUCCAGGAAGUAAGUGCAGCGUGCUUCGUCCUGUUUCUCCUGUGUGCUACGCUUAACGUUGACUUUUUCCACCAUCUGUAAACGUUAAGCGUAGUACACAGGAGAAACAGGACGUUUCAGAAGAACACUCAAUCCCAAGGCUGGAUGCCAGGAAGGAUGCCAUAACACAAAUAACCAACUUUUAUCGCUGUGGUGAGCAGAAAAGCAUCUCAGAACGUUUAAAGAAUGAGGAAGAAGAGCUACAACAGAAGAAGACCAGACUGAGUUCCACUGCUGGCCCCAGAACAGCAAUCUGAGGCUUUUUUUUAUUAAUUCACAUGGUUCACACUGUAAUCAUAUAUUUUUUACCUUAUAUAAUAAAAUGUAGGGGGCACGGUGGCUUAGUGGUUAGCACGUUCGCCUCAAACCUCCAGGGUUGGGGGUUCGAUUCCCGCCUCCACCUUGUGUGUGUGGAGUUUGCAUGUUCUCCCCGUGCCUCGGGGGUUUCCUCCGGGUACUCCAGUUUCCUCCCCCGGUCCAAAGACAUGCAUGGUAGGUUGAUUGGCAUCUCUGGAAAAUUGUCCGUAGUGUGUGAUCGCGUGAGUAAAUGAGAGUGUGUGUGUGUGUGCGCCCUGCGAUGGGUUGGCACUCCGUCCAGGGUGUAUCCUGCCUUGAUGCCCGAUGACACCUGAGAUAGGCACAGGCUCCCCGUGACCCGAGGUAGUUCAGAUAAGCGGUAGAAGAUGAAUGAGUGAAUGAAUAAUAAAAUGUCUGCGUUGUCCUGGAAUUCGUGGAUCAUCAUUACAUACAAUAAACAUUCUUUUAUUUUAUUAUUAUUUCACAUUUCAUUCUAUUCCUUCUAUGUUUCCAUCUAUUUAUCUUCUCUAGUGUUUAUCCUGUACAGAGUCACAGGGAACCUGGAGUCUAUCCCAGGAGACUCUUGGUUGAGGUACCAACACACACACACACACACUAACACAAUAUGGACAAUUUAGAGAUCGUCAACGUUCUACAGUACAUGUAUUUGGACUGGAGAAGGAAACCGGAGUACGAGCCAGAAUUAUAGCAGCUGGAAUGGAAGUGAGAAGAAGAAUGAACUUGUUCUGAGAUGUUCCUCUAUGUAACUAUAAACGGAUAAAAAAGUACACUUGUCCUGA